CCAGGCUAAUACCCCAUACGUCCUACGGGAGAAAGGGGGCUUCGGCUCCCGCUAUUGGAUGAGCCUAUGUCGGAUUAGCUAGUUGGUGAGGUAAAGGCUCACCAAGGCAACGAUCCGUAGCUGGUCUGAGAGGAUGAUCAGCCACAUCGGGACUGAGACACGGCCCGAACUCCUACGGGAGGCAGCAGUGGGGAAUAUUGGACAAUGGGGGCAACCCUGAUCCAGCCAUGCCGCGUGCGUGAAGAAGGCCCUCGGGUUGUAAAGCACUUUCAGCGAGGAAGAACGCCUAGCGGUUAAUACCCGUUAGGAAAGACAUCACUCGCAGAAGAAGCACCGGCUAACUCCGUGCCAGCAGCCGCGGUAAUACGGAGGGUGCAAGCGUUAAUCGGAAUUACUGGGCGUAAAGCGCGCGUAGGUGGCUUGAUAAGCCGGUUGUGAAAGCCCCGGGCUCAACCUGGGAACGGCAUCCGGAACUGUCAGGCUAGAGUGCAGGAGAGGAAGGUAGAAUUCCCGGUGUAGCGGUGAAAUGCGUAGAGAUCGGGAGGAAUACCAGUGGCGAAGGCGGCCUUCUGGACUGACACUGACACUGAGGUGCGAAAGCGUGGGUAGCAAACAGGAUUAGAUACCCUGGUAGUCCACGCCGUAAACGAUGUCGACCAGCCGUUGGGUGCCUAGAGCACUUUGUGGCGAAGUUAACGCGAUAAGUCGACCGCCUGGGGAGUACGGCCGCAAGGUUAAAACUCAAAUGAAUUGACGGGGGCCCGCACAAGCGGUGGAGCAUGUGGUUUAAUUCGAUGCAACGCGAAGAACCUUACCUACCCUUGACAUCUACAGAAGCCGGAAGAGAUUCUGGUGUGCCUUCGGGAACUGUAAGACAGGUGCUGCAUGGCUGUCGUCAGCUCGUGUUGUGAAAUGUUGGGUUAAGUCCCGUAACGAGCGCAACCCUUGUCCUUAUUUGCCAGCACGUAAUGGUGGGAACUCUAAGGAGACUGCCGGUGACAAACCGGAGGAAGGUGGGGACGACGUCAAGUCAUCAUGGCCCUUACGGGUAGGGCUACACACGUGCUACAAUGGCCGGUACAAAGGGCUGCGAGCUCGCGAGAGUCAGCGAAUCCCUUAAAGCCGGUCUCAGUCCGGAUCGGAGUCUGCAACUCGACUUCGUGAAGUCGGAAUCGCUAGUAAUCGUGAAUCAGAAUGUCACGGUGAAUACGUUCCCGGGCCUU
Molecule: ribosomal RNA, 1223 nt
Filed under: uncultured Halomonas sp.
Lineage: Bacteria; Pseudomonadati; Pseudomonadota; Gammaproteobacteria; Oceanospirillales; Halomonadaceae
Description: bacterial SSU rRNA
Rfam family: Bacterial small subunit ribosomal RNA
Source: RNAcentral